RNAcentral lists this transfer RNA (64 nucleotides) under Hylurgus ligniperda. RNAcentral describes it as "tRNA-Phe". The record is from RNAcentral. Lineage: Eukaryota; Metazoa; Arthropoda; Insecta; Coleoptera; Curculionidae.
AUUUAAGUAGCUUAUAUAAGAGCAUAGUAUUGAAGAUACUAAGGAAAUUUUUGAUUCUUAAAUA